RNAcentral lists this non-coding RNA (30 nucleotides) under Mus musculus (house mouse). The record is from RNAcentral. Lineage: Eukaryota; Metazoa; Chordata; Mammalia; Rodentia; Muridae.
UCCGCAGUGGUAGAAAGGCUCUUUCUUAGG